Molecule: ribosomal RNA, 1543 nt
Filed under: Escherichia coli
Lineage: Bacteria; Pseudomonadati; Pseudomonadota; Gammaproteobacteria; Enterobacterales; Enterobacteriaceae
Description: bacterial SSU rRNA
Rfam family: Bacterial small subunit ribosomal RNA
Source: RNAcentral
AAAUUGAAGAGUUUGAUCAUGGCUCAGAUUGAACGCUGGCGGCAGGCCUAACACAUGCAAGUCGAACGGUAACAGGAAACAGCUUGCUGUUUCGCUGACGAGUGGCGGACGGGUGAGUAAUGUCUGGGAAACUGCCUGAUGGAGGGGGAUAACUACUGGAAACGGUAGCUAAUACCGCAUAAUGUCGCAAGACCAAAGAGGGGGACCUUCGGGCCUCUUGCCAUCGGAUGUGCCCAGAUGGGAUUAGCUAGUAGGUGGGGUAACGGCUCACCUAGGCGACGAUCCCUAGCUGGUCUGAGAGGAUGACCAGCCACACUGGAACUGAGACACGGUCCAGACUCCUACGGGAGGCAGCAGUGGGGAAUAUUGCACAAUGGGCGCAAGCCUGAUGCAGCCAUGCCGCGUGUAUGAAGAAGGCCUUCGGGUUGUAAAGUACUUUCAGCGGGGAGGAAGGGAGUAAAGUUAAUACCUUUGCUCAUUGACGUUACCCCGCAGAAGAAGCACCGGCUAACUCCGUGCCAGCAGCCGCGGUAAUACGGAGGGUGCAAGCGUUAAUCGGAAUUACUGGGCGUAAAGCGCACGCAGGCGGUUUGUUAAGUCAGAUGUGAAAUCCCCGGGCUCAACCUGGGAACUGCAUCUGAUACUGGCAAGCUUGAGUCUCGUAGAGGGGGGUAGAAUUCCAGGUGUAGCGGUGAAAUGCGUAGAGAUCUGGAGGAAUACCGGUGGCGAAGGCGGCCCCCUGGACGAAGACUGACGCUCAGGUGCGAAAGCGUGGGGAGCAAACAGGAUUAGAUACCCUGGUAGUCCACGCCGUAAACGAUGUCGACUUGGAGGUUGUGCCCUUGAGGCGUGGCUUCCGGAGCUAACGCGUUAAGUCGACCGCCUGGGGAGUACGGCCGCAAGGUUAAAACUCAAAUGAAUUGACGGGGGCCCGCACAAGCGGUGGAGCAUGUGGUUUAAUUCGAUGCAACGCGAAGAACCUUACCUGGUCUUGACAUCCACAGAACUUUCCAGAGAUGGAUUGGUGCCUUCGGGAACUGUGAGACAGGUGCUGCAUGGCUGUCGUCAGCUCGUGUUGUGAAAUGUUGGGUUAAGUCCCGCAACGAGCGCAACCCUUAUCCUUUGUUGCCAGCGGUCCGGCCGGGAACUCAAAGGAGACUGCCAGUGAUAAACUGGAGGAAGGUGGGGAUGACGUCAAGUCAUCAUGGCCCUUACGACCAGGGCUACACACGUGCUACAAUGGCGCAUACAAAGAGAAGCGACCUCGCGAGAGCAAGCGGACCUCAUAAAGUGCGUCGUAGUCCGGAUUGGAGUCUGCAACUCGACUCCAUGAAGUCGGAAUCGCUAGUAAUCGUGGAUCAGAAUGCCACGGUGAAUACGUUCCCGGGCCUUGUACACACCGCCCGUCACACCAUGGGAGUGGGUUGCAAAAGAAGUAGGUAGCUUAACCUUCGGGAGGGCGCUUACCACUUUGUGAUUCAUGACUGGGGUGAAGUCGUAACAAGGUAACCGUAGGGGAACCUGCGGUUGGAUCACCUCCUUA